This is a long non-coding RNA of Amborella trichopoda, 678 nucleotides long. RefSeq lists it as uncharacterized. Lineage: Eukaryota; Viridiplantae; Streptophyta; Magnoliopsida; Amborellales; Amborellaceae. The record is from RefSeq and is a predicted model, not a curated record.
GAAAAAUUAAAAGUUGGGAGAAGUUGGUUAGUAUACAUUCGAUGAAAAAAUAUAUUGGGACAUCAGAAGAGAUUGAAGAGACAGAAAAAAACUCCAUCGUUGGUGGUUGAACUAUAGUAUCACACAUAUCCGACAAAUAUGCACCAUCCAAGGUUAGGAAUGGUCUGAAAGAGAGAUGCACUGAUAGCACAAAAAAAAGCCCCUUUUUGCUAAAUCUAUAUUGAAGGUAUAAGAUGUUUGCCCUUGAGAUAGAAAUCUAUAUUGAAGGUAAUAGAUGUUUGCGCUGAGAUAGAAUUCACAAAUAGAAGUCUCAAGCAAACCUAAUUAUGCAAAGAGUUUGACUAAUUAAAGUUAGUUUUUUAAUUAAAUAUAGAGUAAUGAUCCUAUGAGACGUUUUCACAUUCAUAUGUAUAGGAUCCCUAAGGAUUACCAUUAAAUUUGGUAUAAAUAAUGUGAGAUUUAACUUUUAUAAAGAUUUGUAUCAAAUUUAAUGGUGAUCCUUUAGAGUCUUAUAUACAUGGGUGUGAGAGGGUAUCACAAGAUCAAUUUCCCUUAAAUAUAAACUUAUUGAAUAUGUAGUAUUUGUUGAAUCCACAAUUCCUAAUGUAAUAUAAGGACGCCUCGUAUAAGGUUAUAUUAGUUUCUUUCCUAUUAAUAAAAACAUUGCACUUCACGUCA